GAGAGAGUUGGCUGUAGAACCGGUAUGGCAUUCCAGGAAGGAAGGUCCCAGCCAGGGGUGCCUUGAGAAGCCAAUAUCCCACUUGUCGAUAAAAUCCUACUGGCACAUGUGUGUGGCAGUCUUUCAACCAAGCACCUUCACAUCUAGGUGCUCCUUCAAUCCUUUGUCUGAAGGUGGGAACUCACCACUCUGUGCUUCACUUAGGCUGUUCCCCCUGCCUGGAGUGCCCUUUUCCCCCUCCCCAUCACUAGACUCACAGCAUUCUAUUCAUGGUGAUAUUCAAAUAUAUCUAUAUCACAUUUUGCUAUAAUUAUUUUGCAUCUGUCUCCGCUUCUGGGCCAUGAGCUACAGAUUCUCUCUCCUCUCCACCCAAUUCAUCCUCAAUGCCUCACAUGUCAUCUGCGCAUGCCAGGUGCUCAACUUCUAUUGAGAAGUGACUGAAAGCAACAUAACAUAUGAACAUAAAGACUGGGAUAUUGUAAGGGGGAUUCAGGCAUGGCGUGGCAGGUUGGACUAAGUCAUCGUUAGGUUCCACCCAACUUUGAGGAGCUUGGAUUCUGUGACUGACACUGGAAAGUCCACUGUAGUAGGUAGACAUCUACUGGGUGCCCUCCAGCAUCUAUUCUCCCUCUUCUCCUUUCUUAAAAGGCCAGUAGCUUCCUUCCCAAGUCAAUCAGUUCAUCUUAUUCCCCAGUCACAGAAACUGGUUCAGAAAUAGGCAUUUCAAGCCAAGAAGACAAAAAGAGGUGUUUUCUUGGGGCCCUGGAAAAGCACUGUACUCUCUUAUCUAGGAGCUACCAAACAGAGAGAGAGAACACAAGCGAGAGGGAGAGAGAAAGAAUUAGCCUUAGGAUGAGACAUACUAAAAGAAAGUAUUCAUUGUUAAUCUGAAACUCAACUAGACAUCCUGUAAUUUUUUCCUGCUAAUUCUGACAACCCAAUGAUUCCAUGGAGGGCAGAAGAGAGAGACCAGAAAGAAACUGGACUUUUGGUGAUACAGUUGAGCCACUGAAUCAAGCCUUGCCUGAAGCCCACGCUUCUGAAAUUUUCAGGUACACAAACCAAUAAACCGUCUUUGUUUAAUUAGAUUUGAGACUAGUUUCAAUCUUUAGGAACUUCCUUGUCUUAAUUGGUUUAUCAAAAGCUGAAAGUUUUGAUCUUUUAGGGAUGCAGAUCUUGUUAGGAGAAGGCCUGCUUUGCAUCCUUUUCUUAGUCUGGCUGUCCUACUCAGGAACUUCUACAGGGCUCCAUCCCUUCUCGUGAUGUUAAUUUUGUCAACCCGACAGGACCAUGGGGUGCCCAGAUAUUUGGUUAAAUAUUAUUCUGGGUGUAUCUGUGUGGGUGUUUCCAGAUGAGAUGAACAUUUGAAUCGGUGGACCAAAUAGAGCAUCUGGCAGCUCCCCAAAGUGAUUGGAUCUCAUCCAAUCCACUGAAGGCCUGAGUAGAACAAAAGGGCAGGGUACAUGAGAAUUUGCUCUGUGUGCUUGCCGCGAAACCGGUGAUUGGUCUUCUGCCUUCAGACUUGGACACAGACUGGAGCUUACAUCAUUGGCUCUCCUGGCUCCUUGACUUUUGGACUCACACUGAAACUAUACCAUAGGCUCUCCUGGGUCUCCAGUUUGCUGCCUGCGUUCACGUGUGUGUACACACACAUAUAGAUCUCCUAUUAAUUCAUAUAUAUAGACACACACACACACACACACACACACACACAACCUCCUAUGAAUCCUGUUCCUUUAGAGAACCCAGACUAAGUAAUACACUCCUCUACUCAGACAAGCAUCCCUACAGACACUCACUAGGCUAACUCUGGCUUUAUUUUUAGCAUGAGACCUUUACGAGAAGCACAGUUUUGUCUUCAGCUUCCUUUCCCCCCACCCGAAGCGGUCUGAGCUGAGGCCAGCUCCCUCCGAGAAGUCAUUACCACCCGGUGGGUGCUGCAGCCUCAGCCCUGAGCACAGACUGGCCAGUGUCUGCUUGGCUCCAGGGCAGUGAGGAGCUGCCUCGGGACCGACAAAAAACUGACCAGCUUGUUUUGCUUUGGGACCAGAAGAAACCAGCUCCUUUUAAUUCUCAAUGGCCAGGCUUGGAAAUCCAGCUUGCCAGAAGAGGGGAAGGGGGCAGAGAAGCAGUCCUUUGGGGAAGGCUCUGGCCAGGACAUUCAAAAGGCAGGAUUUUGCUGGAAACUGUGCUCCGUAGCCAAGACCAGGUGGAAAGAUCAAUUUGGGCUUUAUGAAUUAGUCCCUUCAUUUUUCUGGGUCUGCUUUUCCUCAUCUGUAAAACAGGUUGGGCCAUCAGGCUGCGGAGCAGAUAUUCAGGGCUCAGGGCCCAAGAAAAUGAUACGGAGUCCCAGUUACUUGGCUUUGGGCCUGAGGCAGGGGCUGGGGCGAGGGCAGAGGGCAAAAGCCCAGCGUGAGGCAGGCACAACCACGAGGGCAAUGGCUGAAGCCUUUCAGAUCAGCUCAACUCAUGGUAACAAGCUGGGAACCACUGCACUGCUUUGAACAGCCCCCCCCAUCACCCACCUCCCUCCAUUUCUGAUCUUACUUUGCCCAGCUCCUCACUCUCAGCUCCACUGACACCCCCACAGACCCUGCAAUGGUAUCUGGGCGCAUUGGUUGCAACAUCUUGCAUUCUCCAAGGGUGCUGAUUUAGAUCUGUUCUUUGGGCCCUCCUGCUUUGGACCUCCUCAGGUAAGAUACCCCGACUCUGAUGUAUUAGU
Molecule: long non-coding RNA, 2722 nt
Filed under: Lynx pardinus (Iberian lynx)
Lineage: Eukaryota; Metazoa; Chordata; Mammalia; Carnivora; Felidae
Source: RNAcentral